Molecule: ribosomal RNA, 839 nt
Filed under: uncultured microorganism
Description: bacterial SSU rRNA
Rfam family: Bacterial small subunit ribosomal RNA
Source: RNAcentral
CGAACGGGUGAGUAACACGUGAGCAACCUACCUCUAUGUGGGGAACAACAUCUGGAAACGGAUGCUAAUACCGCAUAAUAUCAUCGGGCGACAUCGCUUGAUGGUCAAAGCAGCAAUGCGCAAAGAGAUGGGCUCGCGUCUGAUUAGCUAGUUGGUGAGGUAACGGCCCACCAAGGCGACGAUCAGUAGCCGGACUGAGAGGUUGAUCGGCCACAUUGGGACUGAGACACGGCCCAGACUCCUACGGGAGGCAGCAGUUGGGAAUAUUGCACAAUGGACGAAAGUCUGAUGCAGCGACGCCGCGUGAGGGAAGAAGGUAUUCGUAUUGUAAACCUCUGUCUUCGGGGACGAUAAUGACGGUACCCGAGGAGGAAGCCACGGCUAACUACGUGCCAGCAGCCGCGGUAAAACGUAGGUGGCAAGCGUUGUCCGGAAUUACUGGGUGUAAAGGGAGCGCAGGCGGAAAGGUAAGUUGAAUGUGAAAUCUAUGGGCUCAACCCAUAAAUUGCGUUCAAAACUAUCUUUCUUGAGUAAUGUAGAGGCAAGCGGAAUUCCAGGUGUAGCGGUGGAAUGCGUAGAUAUCUGGAGGAACACCGGUGGCGAAGGCGGCUUGCUGGGCAUUUACUGACGCUGAGGCUCGAAAGCAUGGGGAGCAAACAGGAUUAGAUACCCUGGUAGUCCAUGCCCUAAACGAUGAUUACUAGGUGUGGGGAGUUAACCCUUUCCGUGCCGCAGCUAACGCAAUAAGUAAUCCACCUGGGGAGUACGGCCGCAAGGCUGAACUCAAAGGAAUUGACGGGGCCCCGCACAAGCAGUGGAGUAUGUGGUUUAAUUCGAAG